Molecule: long non-coding RNA, 280 nt
Organism: Lagenorhynchus albirostris (white-beaked dolphin)
Lineage: Eukaryota; Metazoa; Chordata; Mammalia; Artiodactyla; Delphinidae
Exons: 2
Source: RefSeq, a predicted model, not a curated record
UGAAUUAAUGUCUACUCUUCAGUGAUUAUCCUAAAUCCUAUUCUUCUUUCCUUAUACAGUCAGGCAAUGUGAUGGAAAAUAAACAGACAGAGGCCAUUUUCAACUCCCAAUAUAAGCAGAGGAACUUCAUGUACACUUAUGGCAUAUUCGUUUUUCUGUAGGUAUAUUUCAAUAAAUGUCUUUAAAAAUUUUUUAAAGAACCUCAGGUAUAAAGAGAAAACCUCUUUGACCAUGCUGUAUUUUGUUUUUGUCUGUUUUUUUAAAAAAAUUAAUUUAUUUU